CCAGUAGCUUACUGCAUCCCUCACUUCAUCCAUCACCCCCUGUCUCUCUCAGUCUUUGCACUUGUAUCAGGACUUCCUGUAUUUUUCCACCUUGCUUUCUCUGCAUUCAGAGUCGUGUUUUUCUAAUAACUCCAGCCAUGGUUUCCUCCCUGCUUUUGUAGCAGCAGCUGUGUUGAAGCAGGUACUGGACGCUAUCUGGCCUACCAAACAAACAGCGUUAUCUCCAACAGAAACAUGGAUCCACAGGCCUCGUCUGUCUCAGUCCACUGAAGGACAUCAACCUCGAUAAAAGAUUUACAGUUCUUGUUGCUACAUGAGAAACUGGGUCUGCAAUGUCAACGGCAUCCUGUACUGUGUGAGGGCAGUCGCACUGUAAACGGGGGCUGUGGCGACCCCUGGUGGCGGUGGGCGGAGCCUGCAGGGAU
Molecule: long non-coding RNA, 425 nt
Organism: Dicentrarchus labrax (European seabass)
Lineage: Eukaryota; Metazoa; Chordata; Actinopteri; Moronidae
Exons: 3
Source: RefSeq, a predicted model, not a curated record